This 253-nucleotide ribosomal RNA is filed under the name uncultured bacterium. RNAcentral's name for it is "partial 16S ribosomal RNA". It matches the Rfam family "Bacterial small subunit ribosomal RNA", at positions 524 to 776 of the family's 1533-position model. The record is from RNAcentral.
UACAGAGGUCCCGAGCGUUGUUCGGAUUCAUUGGGCGUAAAGGGUGCGUAGGCGGUCGCGUAAGUCGGAUGUGAAAUCUUGGGGCUCAACCUCAAAACUGCAUUCGAUACUGCGAGGCUAGAGGAUUGGAGAGGAGAGUGGAAUUCACGGUGUAGCAGUGAAAUGCGUAGAGAUCGUGAGGAAGACCAACGGCGAAGGCAGCUCUCUGGACAAUAUCUGACGCUGAGGCACGAAGGCCAGGGGAGCAAACGGG